UUUAAUAUGGCAGAAUUAGUGCAUUGGAUUUAAACCCCAAAUAUAAAGACUUGAAUUUUUUUCUUUUAUUAAAA
RNAcentral lists this transfer RNA (74 nucleotides) under Myrmecocystus mexicanus. Its description in RNAcentral is "tRNA-Leu". The record is from RNAcentral. Lineage: Eukaryota; Metazoa; Arthropoda; Insecta; Hymenoptera; Formicidae.